AACAGUUCAACACAAAGACAACAUGGAAUGAAAAAUCACAAGCUACUGUUGCCUACAAUCACCCAGGUCUGCAGCACGCCUCAACACCUGAAUAGUAUAACAGCACAAAGGAUGGGUUCCUACAUCUCUACAGAUCACCCAAAAACCGGAAGAAAAAAACCCGAGCAGACCUACAUACAGAUAUCCAUCUAGUUAUGCAGAAAACUUGAAAGAAAAGACUGUGCAUAGGCAUCAACAUUUAGGAAUCACAUACAACAUUGGGAGCUCUUAGACUUAAAUUAUUCAACAAUCUAAGCUACAAGCAAAAACACUGUAAUCUAAGUAAGUGGUGUGUUCAGUGUUUGCUAGUCUGUACCUCCAAUGUAGAAGCUCAUGUAGGGCAUGGCCUUUUUGAUGUGUCCCUCUACAUUUACGUGGUUGCAUCGUCUUGAACUGAGCUCAAUUGUGUACAACCCAGAUUGUGUGCUCACGAAGAUGACACCGACACCUUCCGCAAAACC
Molecule: long non-coding RNA, 500 nt
Filed under: Triticum aestivum (bread wheat)
Lineage: Eukaryota; Viridiplantae; Streptophyta; Magnoliopsida; Poales; Poaceae
Description: long non-coding RNA (TAES_LNC001043)
Source: RNAcentral